This 506-nucleotide ribosomal RNA is filed under the name uncultured bacterium. Its description in RNAcentral is "partial 16S ribosomal RNA". It matches the Rfam family "Bacterial small subunit ribosomal RNA", at positions 29 to 523 of the family's 1533-position model. The record is from RNAcentral.
AGUGAACGCCGGCGGUAGGCCUAACACAUGCAAGUCGAACGGCAGCACAGAGGAGCUUGCUCCUUGGGUGGCGAGUGGCGGACGGGUGAGGAAUACAUCGGAAUCUACUCUGUCGUGGGGGAUAACGUAGGGAAACUUACGCUAAUACCGUAUACGACCUACGGGUGAAAGCAGGGGAUCUUCGGACCUUGCGCGAUUGAAUGAGCCGAUGUCGGAUUAGCUAGUUGGCGGGGUAAAGGCCCACCAAGGAGACGAUCCGUAGCUGGUCUGAGAGGUUGAUCAGCCACACUGGAGCUGAGACACGGUCCAGACUCCUACGGGAGGCAGCAGUGGGGACUAGUGGACAAUGCGCGCAAGCCGGAUCCAGCCAUACCGCGUGGGUGAAGAAGGCCUUCGGGUUGUAAAACCCUAUUGUUGGGAAAGAAAUCCAUCUGGUUAAUACCCGGGUGGGAUGACGGUACCCAAAGAAUAAGCCCCGGCUAACUUCGUGCCAGCCGCCGCCGGAA